RNAcentral lists this ribosomal RNA (432 nucleotides) under Triticum aestivum (bread wheat). RNAcentral's name for it is "partial small subunit ribosomal RNA". Lineage: Eukaryota; Viridiplantae; Streptophyta; Magnoliopsida; Poales; Poaceae. The record is from RNAcentral.
AUGGACCGUUUCCGUAUGGCGGCUUCCCAACCCAACAAACCAACGAUGAAGGAGGAUGGCGAAGAUGAGAUGGCGGGAUGGUGGGAGAAGGCUGCGAAGAAGCUUAGAGAGGAGGAUGCAGCCAAGCUAAAGAAGAAGAAGGAAGAGGAGCUUGAGAAGGAGAGGAAGCGAAAACAGAGAGCGGCAAAUGCGAUGCGCGCUAGGGAGCAAGCGUUGGUGAGGAAAUGUGAGGAGGCACAGAAGAAGCGUCAACAUGAUUUUGAAGAAAGAACCAUGAAGCUUUGGGCAAUUGCAGCUGAAAAAGAAGAGAGGGACAAUCAGAUAUUCAUGGAGAGGAUAGUUAAGGAGGCUCACCUCAUAAGAAAAAGGGAGGAGGAGGAGGAAGAAGAGAGGAAGAAGAAGAAGGGAAAGGGGCCUUGCUCUACGCAAUAG